This 280-nucleotide ribosomal RNA is filed under the name uncultured bacterium. RNAcentral's name for it is "partial 16S ribosomal RNA". It matches the Rfam family "Bacterial small subunit ribosomal RNA", at positions 74 to 354 of the family's 1533-position model. The record is from RNAcentral.
CCUGCCGUUGCCGGCGACCGGCGCACGGGUGAGUAACACGUAUGCAACCUGCCCGUGGCAGGGGGAUAAGCGGGGGAAACCCCGUCUAAUACCGCGUAACGCGGCCUAGGGACAUCCCAAGGCCGCCAAAGGGAGCAAUCCCGGCCACGGAUGGGCAUGCGGCGCAUUAGCUAGUCGGCGGGGUAACGGCCCACCGAGGCGACGAUGCGUAGGGGUUCUGAGAGGAAGGCCCCCCACACUGGUACUGAGACACGGGCCAGACUCCUACGGGAGGCAGCAG